CGUACACUCCUGCGGGAGGCAGCAGUGGGGAAUAUUGGACAAUGGGCGCAAGCCUGAUCCAGCCAUGCCGCGUGAGUGAUGAAGGCCCUAGGGUUGUAAAGCUCUUUCACCGGUGAAGAUAAUGACGGUAACCGGAGAAGAAGCCCCGGCUAACUUCGUGCCAGCAGCCGCGGUAAUACGAAGGGGGCUAGCGUUGUUCGGAUUUACUGGGCGUAAAGCGCACGUAGGCGGACUAUUAAGUCAGGGGUGAAAUCCCGGGGCUCAACCCCGGAACUGCCUUUGAUACUGGUAGUCUUGAGUUCGAGAGAGGUGAGUGGAAUUCCGAGUGUAGAGGUGAAAUUCGUAGAUAUUCGGAGGAACACCAGUGGCGAAGGCGGCUCACUGGCUCGAUACUGACGCUGAGGUGCGAAAGCGUGGGGAGCAAACAGGAUUAGAAACCCCAGUAGUCCCAUGAU
This 455-nucleotide ribosomal RNA is filed under the name uncultured organism. Its description in RNAcentral is "partial 16S ribosomal RNA". It matches the Rfam family "Bacterial small subunit ribosomal RNA", at positions 330 to 801 of the family's 1533-position model. The record is from RNAcentral.